This 372-nucleotide unclassified non-coding RNA is filed under the name soil metagenome. Its description in RNAcentral is "partial contains 5.8S ribosomal RNA, internal transcribed spacer 2, and large subunit ribosomal RNA". The stretch from base 1 to 120 matches the Rfam family "5.8S ribosomal RNA", at positions 35 to 154 of the family's 154-position model. The record is from RNAcentral.
GAUGAAGAACGCAGCGAAAUGCGAUAAGUAAUGUGAAUUGCAGAAUUCAGUGAAUCAUCGAAUCUUUGAACGCACAUUGCGCCCGGCAGCAAUCUGCCGGGCAUGCCUGUCCGAGCGUCAUUUCUUCCCUCGAGCGCGGCUAGCCCUACGGGGCCUGCCGUCGCCCGGUGUUGGGGCUCUACGGGUGGUGCUCGUCCCCCCCGCAGUCCCCGAAAUGUAGUGGCGGUCCAGCCGCGGCGCCCCCUGCGUAGUAGAUCCUACAUCUCGCAUCGGGUCCCGGCGAAGGCCAGCCGUCGAACCUUUUAUUUCAUGGUUUGACCUCGGAUCAGGUAGGGUUACCCGCUGAACUUAAGCAUAUCAAUAAGCGGAGGA